RNAcentral lists this unclassified non-coding RNA (304 nucleotides) under Hevea brasiliensis (rubber tree). The record is from RNAcentral. Lineage: Eukaryota; Viridiplantae; Streptophyta; Magnoliopsida; Malpighiales; Euphorbiaceae.
AAAGAGGAUCUUUACUAAAGCAAUUCAAUGCUCCAGACUCUCCUUAUUUCAUGUUUCUCUUAAGCACUCGUGCUGGAGGACUUGGUUUGAAUUUGCAAACAGCUGAUACCGUCAUAAUAUUUGAUAGUGAUUGGAAUCCUCAAAUGGACCAACAAGCAGAGGAUCGGGCACAUCGUAUUGGACAAAAGAAGGAAGUUAGGGUCUUUGUGUUGGUUAGUGUUGGAUCAAUAGAAGAGGUAAUCUUGGAGCGUGCAAAACAGAAGAUGGGAAUCGAUGCCAAAGUUAUCCAGGCAGGACUUUUUAA